AACGAACGCUGGCGGCAUGCCUAACACAUGCAAGUCGAACGAGACCUUCGGGUCUAGUGGCGCACGGGUGCGUAACGCGUGGGAACCUGCCCUUAGGUUCGGAAUAACUCCCCUAAAGGGGUGCUAAUACCGGAUAAUGUCUUCGGACCAAAGAUUUAUCGCCUUUGGAUGGGCCCGCGUUGGAUUAGCUAGUUGGUAGGGUAAAAGCCUACCAAGGCGACGAUCCAUAGCUGGUCUGAGAGGAUGAUCAACCACACUGGGACUGAGACACGGCCCAGACUCCUACGGGAGGCAGCAGUGGGGAAUAUUGGACAAUGGGCGAAAGCCUGAUCCAGCAAGGCCGCGUGAGUGAUGAAGGCCUUAGGGUUGUAAAGCUCUUUUACCCGGGAUGAUAAUGACAGUACCGGGAGAAUAAGCUCCGGCUAACUCCGU
This 432-nucleotide ribosomal RNA is filed under the name uncultured bacterium. Its description in RNAcentral is "partial 16S ribosomal RNA". It matches the Rfam family "Bacterial small subunit ribosomal RNA", at positions 29 to 506 of the family's 1533-position model. The record is from RNAcentral.